UUGAAGAGUUUGAUCAUGGCUCAGAUUGAACGCUGGCGGCAGGCCUAACACAUGCAAGUCGAACGGUAACAGGAAGAAGCUUGCUUCUUUGCUGACGAGUGGCGGACGGGUGAGUAAUGUCUGGGAAACUGCCUGAUGGAGGGGGAUAACUACUGGAAACGGUAGCUAAUACCGCAUAACGUCGCAAGACCAAAGAGGGGGACCUUCGGGCCUCUUGCCAUCGGAUGUGCCCAGAUGGGAUUAGCUAGUAGGUGGGGUAACGGCUCACCUAGGCGACGAUCCCUAGCUGGUCUGAGAGGAUGACCAGCCACACUGGAACUGAGACACGGUCCAGACUCCUACGGGAGGCAGCAGUGGGGAAUAUUGCACAAUGGGCGCAAGCCUGAUGCAGCCAUGCCGCGUGUAUGAAGAAGGCCUUCGGGUUGUAAAGUACUUUCAGCGGGGAGGAAGGGAGUAAAGUUAAUACCUUUGCUCAUUGACGUUACCCGCAGAAGAAGCACCGGCUAACUCCGUGCCAGCAGCCGCGGUAAUACGGAGGGUGCAAGCGUUAAUCGGAAUUACUGGGCGUAAAGCGCACGCAGGCGGUUUGUUAAGUCAGAUGUGAAAUCCCCCGGGCUCAACCUGGGAACUGCAUCUGAUACUGGCAAGCUUGAGUCUCGUAGAGGGGGGUAGAAUUCCAGGUGUAGCGGUGAAAUGCGUAGAGAUCUGGAGGAAUACCGGUGGCGAAGGCGGCCCCCUGGACGAAGACUGACGCUCAGGUGCGAAAGCGUGGGGAGCAAACAGGAUUAGAUACCCUGGUAGUCCACGCCGUAAACGAUGUCGACUUGGAGGUUGUGCCCUUGAGGCGUGGCUUCCGGAGUUAACGCGUUAAGUCGACCGCCUGGGGAGUACGGCCGCAAGGUUAAAACUCAAAUGAAUUGACGGGGGCCCGCACAAGCGGUGGAGCAUGUGGUUUAAUUCGAUGCAACGCGAAGAACCUUACCUGGUCUUGACAUCCACGGAAGUUUUCAGAGAUGAGAAUGUGCCUUCGGGAACCGUGAGACAGGUGCUGCAUGGCUGUCGUCAGCUCGUGUUGUGAAAUGUUGGGUUAAGUCCCGCAACGAGCGCAACCCUUAUCCUUUGUUGCCAGCGGUCCGGCCGGGAACUCAAAGGAGACUGCCAGUGAUAAACUGGAGGAAGGUGGGGAUGACGUCAAGUCAUCAUGGCCCUUACGACCAGGGCUACACACGUGCUACAAUGGCGCAUACAAAGAGAAGCGACCUCGCGAGAGCAAGCGGACCUCAUAAAGUGCGUCGUAGUCCGGAUUGGAGUCUGCAACUCGACUCCAUGAAGUCGGAAUCGCUAGUAAUCGUGGAUCAGAAUGCCACGGUGAAUACGUUCCCGGGCCUUGUACACACCGCCCGUCACACCAUGGGAGUGGGUUGCAAAAGAAGUAGGUAGCUUAACCUUCGGGAGGGCGCUUACCACUUUGUGAUUCAUGACUGGGGUGAAGUCGUAACAAGGUAACCGUAGGGGAACCUGCGGUUGGAUCACCUCCUU
RNAcentral lists this ribosomal RNA (1539 nucleotides) under Escherichia coli. RNAcentral describes it as "bacterial SSU rRNA". It matches the Rfam family "Bacterial small subunit ribosomal RNA". The record is from RNAcentral. Lineage: Bacteria; Pseudomonadati; Pseudomonadota; Gammaproteobacteria; Enterobacterales; Enterobacteriaceae.